This 256-nucleotide RNase MRP RNA is filed under the name Camponotus floridanus (Florida carpenter ant). Its description in RNAcentral is "RNase MRP". It matches the Rfam family "RNase MRP". From Rfam's summary of the family: RNase MRP is an enzymatically active ribonucleoprotein with two distinct roles in eukaryotes. Lineage: Eukaryota; Metazoa; Arthropoda; Insecta; Hymenoptera; Formicidae. The record is from Rfam by way of RNAcentral.
AAGUUCUUUGGGUUAGCACCGCGGAGCUACAAUCGAGUUCCUAGUAACUCUUAGCUCUGAGGAAGGUCCCUGGACACGUGGCAGAAAGUGCCGUGGCUUAAACACCAUCAGCCUCCGCCAUCUCACGUGAAGAAGGGAAGCUCCGGCUGAUCUUACGUGUGCAGGUGUGAGAGUAUUGGUCAGAGCUAAAGUAAUGUGUGUAAAAAUGGCCAUUACCCGACAUUGAACCAAACAGGGCCUAUCAAACCAGGAAACU